UACGGGAGGCAGCAGUGGGGGAUAUUGCGCAAUGGGGGAAACCCUGACGCAGCAACGCCGCGUGGAGGAUGACGGUUUUCGGAUUGUAAACUCCUUUUAUAAGGGACGAACUAAGACGGUACCUUAUGAAUAAGCUCCGGCUAACUACGUGCCAGCAGCCGCGGUAAU
This 168-nucleotide ribosomal RNA is filed under the name uncultured rumen bacterium. RNAcentral's name for it is "partial 16S ribosomal RNA". It matches the Rfam family "Bacterial small subunit ribosomal RNA", at positions 340 to 524 of the family's 1533-position model. The record is from RNAcentral.